CGUAUUUCCGACAAUGGGCACAUCAAUCUGUUCAGGGCGGGUCUGACAUCAUGCCUGUAAAGUCUGGUACUGAUCAGACUGGAUUUCAUUGAGUUAUACUAAUUUGUUUCUUCAUGGCGUGACAUCAAAGUUCGCCAUGCUGCUGGGGUCACACCCUUUGGCGAAAAGUCACAGUUUUCACUGUAACCCAAGACCAACUCCUUAAGGCUUUCCUGGAGAAAUUUGAGGCUGCAGAUGUCACCCAUCACUAUACUGUACCCCAAAGUGUAAAACAUGACAUUUCCUGUUCCCACUAGGUGGCGCUGUCCUUGACGUCAAAUAUGGCAGUUGAAAUAUGUUUAGGGGUGGAGCCUUAUCAUAUGUGUUCACUUUGGUCAAGGUCAGAAAAUGUAUGACAAAAUGAGAGGCAAUAAGAUUUUCAUGGCGAGUCAUCGAAAUUCGCCAUGGCGCCACGGCCUCAUAGUAUUGUGAAAACUCAAAAGCUCCGCAAUUUAACAUGGCACAAGGGUGUAGUUGACACUGUCCAAAUUUGAAGCUUAUAGGACCAAAUCCCAAGGAGGAGUUCGUUAAAGUUCGAGGCAUGGAAAUGGCAAAAUUAGAGCCAAAAUGUCACCUUCUCUUCCAAAUGGCGGACUUCCUGUUGGGUUUGCGUCAAUGGGCCCACAGACUUUUUUGUUCGUCUUGGCAUGAUACACAUGUGUGCCAAAUUUCAUACAUGUAGCUCAAACGAUGUGGUCGUAGGGCUGCAUUUAACAAGGCAUAGGUGGCGCUGUAGAGCCAUUUCCCAGUGCUCAUAUGUAAAACCAUUAAAAUACAA
Astatotilapia calliptera (eastern happy) is the source of this 817-nucleotide long non-coding RNA. The record is from Ensembl. Lineage: Eukaryota; Metazoa; Chordata; Actinopteri; Cichliformes; Cichlidae.